This 350-nucleotide long non-coding RNA is filed under the name Ananas comosus (pineapple). RNAcentral describes it as "long non-coding RNA (ACOM_LNC028296)". Lineage: Eukaryota; Viridiplantae; Streptophyta; Magnoliopsida; Poales; Bromeliaceae. The record is from RNAcentral.
UCAAACUUCUCGAUCUCAAAUUCGUCAUCGUCUUAAACACCCAAACGAACACUCCAGCUCUGAUACCAAUUUGUUAGAACUAAAACCGAAAAGAUCUAAUUCGUCAGCUACAAAAAUACCAAAAGAGAACCAAGAAUGAAAGAAGGAAAAUAAAGUACACAAUAUUUACGUCGUUCUGCCACCGGCAUACAUCCACGGACGACGGAGCCGAAAUCUUCAUUAUAAUCAAAGUGGUGUAUAAAAUAUGCCUCUCUCGCAAAACCUAAUCCCAAAAAUACAUCCAUAUUCCCUCUCUCAUCUUCCGUACUAAACUAAUGGAAUAAAGGGUAUAUUUAUAAGAGUGGCUAAAU